GAUGAACGCUAGCUACAGGCCUAACACAUGCAAGUCGAGGGGCAGCGGGAAGGAAGCUUGCUUUCUUCGCCGGCGACCGGCGCACGGGUGCGUAACGCGUAUCGAACCUACCCUUUACUCGGGAACAGCCUUGCGAAAGCAAGAUUAAUGCCCGAUGUUCCGCGUUUGCCGCAUGGCAAAUUCGGCAAAGAUUUAUUGGUAAAGGAUGGCGAUGCGUCCCAUUAGUUAGUUGGCGGGGUAACGGCCCACCAAGACGACGGUGGGUAGGGGUUCUGAGAGGAAGGUCCCCCACAUUGGAACUGAGACACGGUCCAAACUCCUACGGGAGGCAGCAGUGAGGAAUAUUGGUCAAUGGGCGGAAGCCUGAACCAGCCAAGUAGCGUGCAGGAAGACAGCCCUAUGGGUUGUAAACUGCUUUUAUAAGGGAAUAAAGUGAGUCUCGUGAGACUUUUUGCAUGUACCUUAUGAAUAAGGACCGGCUAAUUCCGUG
Molecule: ribosomal RNA, 490 nt
Filed under: uncultured bacterium
Lineage: Bacteria
Description: bacterial SSU rRNA
Rfam family: Bacterial small subunit ribosomal RNA
Source: RNAcentral